This 2906-nucleotide ribosomal RNA is filed under the name Klebsiella michiganensis. RNAcentral's name for it is "23S ribosomal RNA". It matches the Rfam family "Bacterial large subunit ribosomal RNA". Lineage: Bacteria; Pseudomonadati; Pseudomonadota; Gammaproteobacteria; Enterobacterales; Enterobacteriaceae. The record is from RNAcentral.
GGUUAAGCGACUAAGCGUACACGGUGGAUGCCCUGGCAGUCAGAGGCGAUGAAGGACGUGCUAAUCUGCGAAAAGCGUCGGUAAGGUGAUAUGAACCGUUACAGCCGGCGAUGUCCGAAUGGGGAAACCCAGUGCAAUUCGUUGCACUAUCGUUAACUGAAUACAUAGGUUAACGAGGCGAACCGGGGGAACUGAAACAUCUAAGUACCCCGAGGAAAAGAAAUCAACCGAGAUUCCCCCAGUAGCGGCGAGCGAACGGGGAGCAGCCCGGAGUCUGAAUCAGCUUGUGUGUUAGUGGAAGCGUCUGGAAAGUCGCAGGGUACAGGGUGAUACUCCCGUACACUAAAACGCACAGGUUGUGAACUCGAAGAGUAGGGCGGGACACGUGGUAUCCUGUCUGAAUAUGGGGGGACCAUCCUCCAAGGCUAAAUACUCCUGACUGACCGAUAGUGAACCAGUACCGUGAGGGAAAGGCGAAAAGAACCCCGGCGAGGGGAGUGAAAAAGAACCUGAAACCGUGUACGUACAAGCAGUAGGAGCCCACUUGUUGGGUGACUGCGUACCUUUUGUAUAAUGGGUCAGCGACUUAUAUUCUGUAGCAAGGUUAACCGUAUAGGGGAGCCGCAGGGAAACCGAGUCUUAACUGGGCGUUAAGUUGCAGGGUAUAGACCCGAAACCCGGUGAUCUAGCCAUGGGCAGGUUGAAGGUUGGGUAACACUAACUGGAGGACCGAACCGACUAAUGUUGAAAAAUUAGCGGAUGACUUGUGGCUGGGGGUGAAAGGCCAAUCAAACCGGGAGAUAGCUGGUUCUCCCCGAAAGCUAUUUAGGUAGCGCCUCGUGAAUUCAUCUUCGGGGGUAGAGCACUGUUUCGGCUAGGGGGUCAUCCCGACUUACCAACCCGAUGCAAACUACGAAUACCGAAGAAUGUUAUCACGGGAGACACACGGCGGGUGCUAACGUCCGUCGUGAAGAGGGAAACAACCCAGACCGCCAGCUAAGGUCCCAAAGUCAUGGUUAAGUGGGAAACGAUGUGGGAAGGCCCAGACAGCCAGGAUGUUGGCUUAGAAGCAGCCAUCAUUUAAAGAAAGCGUAAUAGCUCACUGGUCGAGUCGGCCUGCGCGGAAGAUGUAACGGGGCUAAACCAUGCACCGAAGCUGCGGCAGCGACACUAUGUGUUGUUGGGUAGGGGAGCGUUCUGUAAGCCGUUGAAGGUGGCCUGUGAGGGUUGCUGGAGGUAUCAGAAGUGCGAAUGCUGACAUAAGUAACGAUAAUGCGGGUGAAAAACCCGCACGCCGGAAGACCAAGGGUUCCUGUCCAACGUUAAUCGGGGCAGGGUGAGUCGACCCCUAAGGCGAGGCCGAAAGGCGUAGUCGAUGGGAAACAGGUUAAUAUUCCUGUACUCGGUGUUACUGCGAAGGGGGGACGGAGAAGGCUAUGUUGGCCGGGCGACGGUUGUCCCGGUUUAAGCAUGUGGGCGGAUGUUCCAGGUAAAUCCGGAACGUCACUAACGCUGAGGUGUGAUGACGAGGCACUACGGUGCUGAAGUGACAAAUGCCCUGCUUCCAGGAAAAGCCUCUAAGCAUCAGGUAACAUCAAAUCGUACCCCAAACCGACACAGGUGGUCAGGUAGAGAAUACCAAGGCGCUUGAGAGAACUCGGGUGAAGGAACUAGGCAAAAUGGUGCCGUAACUUCGGGAGAAGGCACGCUGAUGGUAAGUGAAGUGACUUGCUCAUGGAGCUGAAAUCAGUCGAAGAUACCAGCUGGCUGCAACUGUUUAUUAAAAACACAGCACUGUGCAAACACGAAAGUGGACGUAUACGGUGUGACGCCUGCCCGGUGCCGGAAGGUUAAUUGAUGGGGUUAUCCGUAAGGAGAAGCUCUUGAUCGAAGCCCCGGUAAACGGCGGCCGUAACUAUAACGGUCCUAAGGUAGCGAAAUUCCUUGUCGGGUAAGUUCCGACCUGCACGAAUGGCGUAAUGAUGGCCAGGCUGUCUCCACCCGAGACUCAGUGAAAUUGAACUCGCUGUGAAGAUGCAGUGUACCCGCGGCAAGACGGAAAGACCCCGUGAACCUUUACUAUAGCUUGACACUGAACACUGGUCCUUGAUGUGUAGGAUAGGUGGGAGGCUUUGAAGUGUGGACGCCAGUCUGCAUGGAGCCAUCCUUGAAAUACCACCCUUUAAUGGCUGGUGUUCUAACGUGGGCCCCUGAUCGGGGUUGCGGACAGUGUCUGGUGGGUAGUUUGACUGGGGCGGUCUCCUCCUAAAGAGUAACGGAGGAGCACGAAGGUCAGCUAAUCCUGGUCGGACAUCAGGAGGUUAGUGCAAUGGCAUAAGCUGGCUUGACUGCGAGCGUGACGGCGCGAGCAGGUGCGAAAGCAGGUCAUAGUGAUCCGGUGGUUCUGAAUGGAAGGGCCAUCGCUCAACGGAUAAAAGGUACUCCGGGGAUAACAGGCUGAUACCGCCCAAGAGUUCAUAUCGACGGCGGUGUUUGGCACCUCGAUGUCGGCUCAUCACAUCCUGGGGCUGAAGUAGGUCCCAAGGGUAUGGCUGUUCGCCAUUUAAAGUGGUACGCGAGCUGGGUUUAGAACGUCGUGAGACAGUUCGGUCCCUAUCUGCCGUGGGCGCUGGAGAAUUGAGGGGGGCUGCUCCUAGUACGAGAGGACCGGAGUGGACGCAUCACUGGUGUUCGGGUUGUCAUGCCAAUGGCAUUGCCCGGUAGCUAAAUGCGGAAGAGAUAAGUGCUGAAAGCAUCUAAGCACGAAACUUGCCCCGAGAUGAGUUCUCCCUGACUCCUUGAGAGUCCUGAAGGAACGUUGAAGACGACGACGUUGAUAGGCCGGGUGUGUAAGCGCAGCGAUGCGUUGAGCUAACCGGUACUAAUGAACCGUGAGGCUUAACCUU